Humulus lupulus (European hop) is the source of this 439-nucleotide long non-coding RNA. RefSeq lists it as uncharacterized. The transcript has 3 exons. NCBI's taxonomy places the organism in Eukaryota, Viridiplantae, Streptophyta, Magnoliopsida, Rosales, Cannabaceae. The record is from RefSeq and is a predicted model, not a curated record.
UUCUUCUGUUGUAUGAAUAGUUAUAUGAACUGGGUUGGAACUGGGACAAUUUAGAACUUCUAGCACAGGGCAGAAACUUCAUGUUAUGAUAAAUGGCAGUGUUUCUGCCAGUUUAGUCAUGGUGCAUUUGAUUGAGAAAUUAGCUGCUGGUGAUACUGGAAGUUUAUCUGUAUCAAUACUUCAGAAGAUGAGCACCAUGUCUAAAAAGGUAUAUUGAGAUGAUUUCUUUGGAGCAAUUCUUGACAACAUUUGUAGUUGAGGCCUUUAGAAUGGAAGAAUGUAUUUCACUAAUUUUUGUAUACAUUUCUUGUUUUGUAUUUAGUGAUAAAGGAAUCUAAAUUUGGCAUAAAUUAUGUUGUAAUAUGAUUUCUUAAGCCUAGACUAGUAGACUAAAUAUUGUAAUUACAUUUGAGUAAUUAAUAAAAAUCUAUUUAUGUUA